Molecule: unclassified non-coding RNA, 525 nt
Filed under: Hevea brasiliensis (rubber tree)
Lineage: Eukaryota; Viridiplantae; Streptophyta; Magnoliopsida; Malpighiales; Euphorbiaceae
Source: RNAcentral
ACCACAGUGCUAUAGAUAUUUAGAAAAUAUAUGAAAAUUUCAGAUGGUAAAACCCCAAGAUCAUGUUCUAUUGAGGAGAGUACAAGAAAGAAGUGGGAAAAACAGCAUUUAUACAGGUGCCUUAACACAGUGAGCCUGUAGUCAUUAUAAGCAAAAGAAUGCUUAAGCACUUGACCAACUUGAUCCAGAAUUUUGCAAAACCGUUGCCUAGUGAUGACAUAGCUGAAUAAUCAAUCAAGAAAAUGCUCUUCAAUUCUCACACCUCUUCUUGUGCAGAUUGCUUAGCAAGUUUGAGGUCCUCACUAAGACCCAACUCAAAAAGGCCUUACUCUCAACCAUAUGGAUUGGAACUUAGCCGUAUUUAUAAUUUCACUAUGCCAUUUAAGCAAUAUUCAUAUUAAAUCCUUGGCAAAGAUAAGAUUAAAUAGGAGAAAAGGCAGAUAUCUUGUUCACUAAAUGUGCAUGAAAAAUUUUUAAAAGUGAAUUAAAUAAAUGAGUAUUACCAUAGUGGCAUCGUCGGGCUUG